CGGCAUGCCUAACACAUGCAAGUCGAACGAGACCUUCGGGUCUAGUGGCGCACGGGUGCGUAACGCGUGGGAACCUGCCUUUAGUUCGGAAUAACUCAGAGAAAUUUGAGCUAACACCGGAUAAUGUCUUCGGACCAAAGAUUUAUCGCCUUUAGAUGGGCCCGCGUAAGAUUAGCUAGUUGGUGGGGUAAAGGCCUACCAAGGCGACGAUCUUUAGCUGGUCUGAGAGGAUGAUCAGCCACACUGGGACUGAGACACGGCCCAGACUCCUACGGGAGGCAGCAGUGGGGAAUAUUGGACAAUGGGCGAAAGCCUGAUCCAGCAAUGCCGCGUGAGUGAUGAAGGCCUUAGGGUUGUAAAGCUCUUUUACCCGAGAUGAUAAUGACAGUAUCGGGAGAAUAAGCUCCGGCUAACUCCGUG
RNAcentral lists this ribosomal RNA (420 nucleotides) under uncultured bacterium. Its description in RNAcentral is "bacterial SSU rRNA". It matches the Rfam family "Bacterial small subunit ribosomal RNA", at positions 40 to 507 of the family's 1533-position model. The record is from RNAcentral.